GCCCGGCUAGCUCAGUCGGUAGAGCAUGAGACUCAUAAUCUCAGGGUCGUGGGUUCGAGCCCCACGCUGGGCG
This 73-nucleotide transfer RNA is filed under the name Schistocerca americana (American grasshopper). RNAcentral's name for it is "tRNA-Met". It matches the Rfam family "tRNA". Rfam says of the family: Transfer RNA (tRNA) molecules are approximately 80 nucleotides in length. Their secondary structure includes four short double-helical elements and three loops (D, anti-codon, and T loops). Lineage: Eukaryota; Metazoa; Arthropoda; Insecta; Orthoptera; Acrididae. RNAcentral also lists the same sequence under 2 other names. The record is from RNAcentral.